AUAGGUCAGAGGUGGAAGCAUGGCGACAUGUGGAGCUGACUGAUACUAAUCGAUCGAGGACUUAACCACA
Molecule: ribosomal RNA, 70 nt
Filed under: [Bacillus] enclensis
Lineage: Bacteria; Bacillati; Bacillota; Bacilli; Caryophanales; Bacillaceae
Description: Bacillus enclensis partial 23S ribosomal RNA
Source: RNAcentral